GAUUGAACGCUGGCGGCAGGCUUAACACAUGCAAGUCGAGCGGUAACAGGGGAGCUUGCUCCUGCUGACGAGCGGCGGACGGGUGAGUAACGCGUAGGAAUCUGCCUAGUAGAGGGGGACAACAUGUGGAAACGCAUGCUAAUACCGCAUACGCCCUGAGGGGGAAAGGAGGGGAUCACUUGUGACCUUUCGCUAUUAGAUGAGCCUGCGUGAGAUUAGCUAGUUGGUAGGGUAAAGGCCUACCAAGGCGACGAUCUCUAACUGGUCUGAGAGGAUGACCAGUCACACUGGGACUGAGACACGGCCCAGACUCCUACGGGAGGCAGCAGUGGGGAAUAUUGGACAAUGGGCGCAAGCCUGAUCCAGCCAUGCCGCGUGUGUGAAGAAGGCCUUAGGGUUGUAAAGCACUUUCAGGGGUGAGGAAGGGUAACUAGCUAAUACCUAGUUAUUUUGACGUAGCCCCAGAAGAAG
This 471-nucleotide ribosomal RNA is filed under the name Marinomonas sp. 'Disko Bay 128'. RNAcentral's name for it is "bacterial SSU rRNA". It matches the Rfam family "Bacterial small subunit ribosomal RNA", at positions 27 to 490 of the family's 1533-position model. Lineage: Bacteria; Pseudomonadati; Pseudomonadota; Gammaproteobacteria; Oceanospirillales; Oceanospirillaceae. The record is from RNAcentral.